This 927-nucleotide long non-coding RNA is filed under the name Bos indicus x Bos taurus (hybrid cattle). RNAcentral describes it as "lncRNA (ENSBIXG00000028586.1)". The record is from RNAcentral. Lineage: Eukaryota; Metazoa; Chordata; Mammalia; Artiodactyla; Bovidae.
AUGGAGACCAGACAUCACGUGAAAUGGACACGUUCAAAGGCAGGUCCUGUCUCGGGGGCAGUAGACAUCAGAGGACUACAGAAGGGUCUUCCUCCUCUCAAGCCAGGUGGUCCAUGGGAGAUGAUGAGCAGUACCCUUCUGUCACCAGAAGAUCCCGCAGGAAGCUGCAAGGCUGAAGCAUUUUUGGGUGGACUGAACUUCCACUCAUUGUGGUACUGAAUUCUUUACUAUGGAGAUGUAGAAGAGAUAGUUUCUGGAGUGAUGAGGGAUUUGGUGAAGCUGUUUGCUCUCUGAAACAAGACAGUAAAGGCUGAACAACUAAAAUGGAUCAUUUCAGAACUCUGGCCAAUAUCCAAAGCCACUGAAAGAACUGAAAACCACCCAAGAUAAGCUGCCAAGCCCCGAUGAAGCAGUGGGACCUGUGAAGUGUCGUUUUAUUUAUUUGGCUGGGACGAGUCUUAGUUGCAGGACGCAGGAUCAUCAAUCUUCCUAUACGUUCUUUAGUUGUGGCAUGAGAACUCUCAUUUGCAUCACGUGGGAUCUUAGUUCCUUGAUCAGGCAUCGAACCCAGGUCCCCUGUUUUGGGAGUAUGGAGUCUUAGCCACUGGACCACCGGGGACAUGCCUGUGAAGUUUUAAUUUGGAGCUAUUUCCAUUUCCUUCUUUCCCCAGUUCAGUGGUGUAGAAACCAAAAUCCAGCUGCACCAUAAAGGAUAGAGAGAUGUGAAUUCUUUUUGGUCUCUGUUAAAAGCACAGUCCCCUAGAGCACUGCCAAUUUGUUGUCCCAACUUGGAGCUCCCUCAAACAUCAGAGUAUGUCAGCUAUUUCACUUGAUUCAGAGCUUGGGUGGGGUAAAGGGGGCUUACCCCAGGGCAUCAGUGAGGCAGUGGAAAAUAAAACUGACAGCAUUUAAAUUAUCUGAGGUAGU